RNAcentral lists this ribosomal RNA (440 nucleotides) under uncultured bacterium. RNAcentral's name for it is "partial 16S ribosomal RNA". It matches the Rfam family "Bacterial small subunit ribosomal RNA", at positions 338 to 795 of the family's 1533-position model. The record is from RNAcentral.
CCUACGGGAGGCAGCAGUGGGGAAUAUUGCACAAUGGGGGAAACCCUGAUGCAGCGACGCCGCGUGAGUGAUGAAGUACUUCGGUAUGUAAAGCUCUAUCAGCAGGGAAGAAAAUGACGGUACCUGACUAAGAAGCCCCGGCUAACUACGUGCCAGCAGCCGCGGUAAUACGUAGGGGGCAAGCGUUAUCCGGAUUUACUGGGUGUAAAGGGAGCGUAGACGGCGGUGCAAGUCUGAUGUGAAAGGCCGGGGCUCAACCCCGGGACUGCAUUUGAAACUGUCAUGCUGGAGUGUCGGAGGGGCAAGCGGAAUUCCUAGUGUAGCGGUGAAAUGCGUAGAUAUUAGGAGGAACACCGGUGGCGAAGGCGGCUUGCUGGACGGUAACUGACGUUGAGGCUCGAAAGCGUGGGGAGCAAACAGGAUUAGAUACCCUAGUAGUC